GUAAAAAAUUGCUGUAAAAAAACGGGGAAUUUUGGACAGUAAUUUACCGUUUCUCAUAAAUACAGUUGAAUACUGUAAAUAAACAAUAAUAUGACAAACAAAAUAAUAACAGCAAGCUCCUGUUCAGUCUUACGGGAUAAUACAGUAUUUUUUGGUUUGGUCAGGCAUGUCAAACAUGUGACGAGCUCAUCUGCAACCAUGAGUAAAACUGAUUUAACUACACUGUUUUUCUGCAUUUUAUUAUACGAGAAGGAAGCAGAAUUAAAGACUAUCUAUCCAUUUUCACUCCGAUUGUGACCCUACCAGCACUGAGACGGACGACGAAUUCACUUGUUUUUUACUCCUCGCCUGUAUAUCAAGUUGCUGGUGAUGAAGUAACAUUUGGAGGUUGGAUGAUCAGCAGUAAAAACAUCAUCAUCUGUGAAGGCAAGAUGAAGCUGCGAGGACACUGGAGUUUGUUCAAAGAUGCUUAAUUGGUGUGAACCCUAAGAGGUGAACAAAAGCCAGGCAGGUGAAGGUGUCCGAGAAGACAGGAAAGCUUGUCCAGAAAAACGCAGCAACUGUUAAUCCCCAUGUGACCACCCUCAUCAAAAACUUCAUGGACUUUGAGUGGCUUUCACAUUGUAUUCUGCAGUGUUGUGAUAUUUAUGUGACAUCACAGCAUUAUGUUUUAUUCAGCCCAGUCUCAUUAGUGAGGCAGAAACUGACAUUUAAGAAUGCACUGAAUUUUGUUAUAUUUAAUAAAAACAGUGUUUUAUCAUCAUCCUUUGUUUGAGAAUUUUUUUGCAAGCAAUUUUAAGUGUUUAUUUUAAAAUUACAUUUUAACAAUGCUAGAAAAAUCACAUUCUACAGUAUAAAUAACAGCAGGAACCCUAAAAUAACAGUAUAAUGCAUCCAAACAUCUGACAGUAUUAUACUGUGCAGCUCCCUUUUUUUACAGUACUGUCUCGUAAUAUUUGUACAGUAAAAAACUGUUGUUGUAAAUUACAGUAGGUAAUCUGUAAAAUUACAACUAUAUGCUGGCAAAUCUAGCUGCCAGUAUAUUACUGUAAUUUAACAGUGAAAUUUUUUACAGUGUAAGUAUCACUGCGCCACUGUUGCUGCGUACUGAUUUAUGAAAAUAAACACCACAGUCUUUAAUCAUAUUUUAAAUUUGUCUACAAUUGCACAAUUAAUGGCGAUAUCCAGAUAAAUGUCAAUAAAUAUUGUUGAGUAAUCUCGUCGAUAAAGACAAAACGUUGUCUGAGGAGUUUAUAACUCAAGUUCAUAUGUCCGCUAUUAUCCACUGGGUGGCUAUCUUACCCAACUUAAACACUGACGCAUUCACUUAACACUGAAAACACAGCGUUUAAGAUUUGAUGGCUUUGAAUCUGAUCUCUUACUAAAGUUCUUCACAAAAAUGGAAUUAUCUCUGCUUUUAGCUAAAAAAUUUGAGAGGUGAUAAGAGAACAAAUGAAGGUAGGAUGAAACGUUUUUUUUGUUUGUUUGUUUGAAAGCGGAUGGUCUGUUUUUUCAUUUGAUAUUUUAUGUUUAUUUAAAGAAGAUAAUUUUUCUGCAAGGCAUUAAACUAAAACUGGGUGGCAAAAAAAGAGUUCAGCAUGCUUCCAAGCAUAUUUGAUCAUCACUUCAACAGUUGCACAAUAUCAAUGUUAAUGUAUAAAUUAGAUGAAUGUUGGUUUAUAAAAUAAACACCACAGUCUCAAAUCAUAUUUUCAUUUUGUCUUUGCUGCAUCUGUGUUGGUUGGUAACUGCGCUCUGUUUCAGUCACAGUUGAUUCUGGGGAACUACUUUGUUUGGCGGAAGAGUAAUAUUUGUACUAAUAUAAUUACAACUUAUUUGUGUUUUAUUUAAAAAAAUCCCGCUAAUGUUAUGCAUAUGAAGUA
This is a non-coding RNA of Paramisgurnus dabryanus, 1883 nucleotides long. The record is from RefSeq and is a predicted model, not a curated record. NCBI's taxonomy places the organism in Eukaryota, Metazoa, Chordata, Actinopteri, Cypriniformes, Cobitidae.